GAGGCCAACCCUAGAGUCACGAGCGCACGAGAAGAAAAAUCGCACAUCGGCCUCCUUGCUCCUCGCUCGCAGCCGCCUCCUCUGCCUGACCCACGCCGCCGGCCCUAUCUCUCUGCUCGCCUCCUCCUCUCCUAUUCCCUACCGUCAUGGUUCCGGAUCGGGGCUUGGGCCAUCGUCGUGGGGGAGCAGGGAUGACGGGGUCUUCACAGUGGAGGUGGAGCUGUAGGGGAGGGGAGGAUGCCAACGACAAGGGAAAGGAGGAGGCCAAAGAGGACGGCAAUGGGGAGGCCGGCAGGGAAGGAGCAGAGAGAGGGCUUCUGCUUCUUCCAGCGGGCCAUGGCACCCGAGUUCAUCGUCAUCGUGUCCCUUGAGUUGAGCCCCCGUCGCCCCCACUCCUCUCACUUUCUCGCGACAUCUCGCCGUUGAUCGCCACCCCAUUUCAAAAAUUCAGAGAGAGAUGCUGCGUGGCUCCCUCUGGCGGCUCCUGGCCGUGGCCGUGGCCGUGUCGGCGGCGACGGGGGCGGUGGCCGCCCUGAAGGCCGGUCGGAGCCUGCACCGGGACUUCGACGACGGAUGGGUGGUGGAGCUAGCGCUGGACCGGGAGACGGGGUCCAGGCUGGAGUCCAAGGACCGGUACCUCUUCGGGCGGUUCGAUCUCGACAUCAGGCUCGUUGCCGGCAUGUCCGCCGGGACCCGGGACCAUCGCUUCCUUCAACGUAAGUGUACAUGGAUCUCUCUGGUCGACUGCAGUUUCGUUCUCGUUUCUGACUGCCUAAUUAACCGGCAUCUCCGCACAACUCGCCCCUGCUAUGGCGGCGGUGCUGCCGAACAUCACCAGCCUCCUCUGAUGAGGGAGGUGGCUCGGCCCAGCCAUGGCCCUGGCACUUGCCAUGGGAGAGUAGGGCGGCACCGUCGUGGGGGUGGAUGACCAGGGGAUUGCCAGGAGGCCGGCGGUGGGUCGAAGAAGCAGAGAUGCAGCACAUUCUCUUCCUCUCUUCCUUGCUGACGACGCGUCCGGAAGGUGAUGCGUUCUCGUCUCUUCCCUUCUGGUUGCACGUCAGCUCCUUUUUCCAAUCCCAUGCUCUUCUCUCCUCAUGCCCCUCCUCCUCUUGCUCCUCCUAUGUAUUUUUUAAUUUCUUUUGUGCGAUUUUACUCCAUGGUGCUUGCACGUCCAUGGAUCUAGAAGUAGCAUGUUCAUUCUUCUUAGUUCAUGUUUUAUGUGUAGCAUUUCGUAGGCUAAAAAUUGAAAGGAGAUGUGAUGAUACUGUCUUUUGACUCCCUCCAUGCUACCUGUACAGAAUUUAUAGUUGCCAGGCAUAUGGUGGACUAAUCAAAUGCAAGCUAUGAGGAGCUAAAAGAAGUAGGAUAUUCCGAGCAAGGGACUCUACCUUUAUGGGUUUGAUUGUUGUGGCAGAAUCAAUGGACUGCACCAACUGCUAUUGAAGAAGUAUAUGUAGAAUGCAUAGUUAUGGUGCGAUAGGGCCAGUGUUGUUGUCUGACAGUUGUGCAUUCUUCACCUUGGAUGGUCAAAGAUAUGCUCGCUAGCCUGAUGCUGCUCCAUCGGUGGAUCUACAGAUUGUUCUAUUAUGAAGUAUUGGUUUAUUAUUGAGGUAGCCUUAGACGGAGGAGCUGAAUGCAGUUUUUGUAUCUUUUUUUAAUGUCCUGAAUGGUCCCAUGAAAAUCCUGGAUAAGAGCCAUGAAUAGGAGCAAGGCAGCACACUACACCUCUGAGAAGAAAAGGAUAUGAAGACAAAGAUAGAUCAGUGUUCUGCUCCGAAGCAAAAACAUUUUGCAUGUAAUAAUGAACUGUAAUUUACCACAAUCUCUCUAAAACAGCCUACUUAGUACCAGUCCGUUCCUUGCUUUUCUAUUAGGAAAUAUGACUUGGUCAUAUAUAUUUACAUUCGCGUUGUGUAGUUGUGGUUUGUAUGCUUGAAAAUACCUUUUUAAUCGAGCUUGAAAAUUCUUAUGUGCAGUGAAA
Molecule: RNA transcript, 1981 nt
Organism: Triticum aestivum (bread wheat)
Lineage: Eukaryota; Viridiplantae; Streptophyta; Magnoliopsida; Poales; Poaceae
Gene name: probable xyloglucan endotransglucosylase/hydrolase protein 16
Exons: 5
Source: RefSeq, a predicted model, not a curated record